GGGGUUGUAGUUCAGUUGGUUAGAACGCCGGCCUGUCACGCCGGAGGUCGCGAGUUCGAGCCUCGUCGACCCCG
Molecule: transfer RNA, 74 nt
Filed under: Candidatus Moduliflexus flocculans
Lineage: Bacteria; Candidatus Moduliflexota; Candidatus Moduliflexia; Candidatus Moduliflexales; Candidatus Moduliflexaceae
Rfam family: tRNA
About the family: Transfer RNA (tRNA) molecules are approximately 80 nucleotides in length. Their secondary structure includes four short double-helical elements and three loops (D, anti-codon, and T loops).
Source: Rfam by way of RNAcentral